CAUAGCUGCGCCUGCGCGAGUGAAGCAUCUCGGGAGGACGUGACGUCAACCACGAUUCGAAUCAAUACAGGAAGAGAGGGAUCACGCGUUGCCAGAGGGUGUCUCCUAUCAGCUUCCUGCACUCCUGCCUCUGCCAGGGCCAGAGCACACCUGGCCUUGUGCCCUGUGGCCUUCUGAAGUCAGCUCAGCGCUGGACCUCCAGGUGACUUCCUGCCAUCGUCAGCCUGAGCCACAAUGUAAGGAUGAAACUGUCCCGACAGCCUGGCUGUCACCACUUCCAAACACAGGGUCUGAGUCAACACCCGGCACACAGUACCUGGGAUCCUCUUGGGACUUUAAAGAGGAGCACAGCAGAGGCUGUGGGUGCGGCUCAGUGGUGAACUCCUGCCUGGUUUUUCAAGACCCUGGGAUCCAUGCCCAGCACCACAAACAACAACCAAAAAGCAAAAACAACAGCAACAAAAACAAAAAAUAUAUAGUUUACUAUCGUAACAUUUGUUUUAAUUUAAUAUCAGUACUAUCAAGC
RNAcentral lists this long non-coding RNA (526 nucleotides) under Fukomys damarensis (Damara mole-rat). Its description in RNAcentral is "lncRNA (ENSFDAG00000027649.1)". The record is from RNAcentral. Lineage: Eukaryota; Metazoa; Chordata; Mammalia; Rodentia; Bathyergidae.